UACGUAGGGGGCAAGCGUUGUCCGGAAUCAUUGGGCGUAAAGGGCGCGUAGGCGGCCAUGCGUGUCUUCCGUGAAAUCCCUCGGCUUAACUGAGGACGUGCGGAAGAAACUGCAAGGCUCGAGUCCGGGAGAGGGGGGUGGAAUUCCCAGUGUAGCGGUGAAAUGCGUAGAUAUUGGGAGGAACACCGGUGGCGAAGGCGGCCCCCUGGACCGGUACUGACGCUGAGGCGCGAAAGCGUGGGUAGCAAACGGG
Molecule: ribosomal RNA, 253 nt
Filed under: uncultured bacterium
Lineage: Bacteria
Description: partial 16S ribosomal RNA
Rfam family: Bacterial small subunit ribosomal RNA
Source: RNAcentral